This 609-nucleotide long non-coding RNA is filed under the name Homo sapiens (human). RNAcentral's name for it is "CCND2 antisense RNA 1, transcript variant 2 (CCND2-AS1)". The record is from RNAcentral. Lineage: Eukaryota; Metazoa; Chordata; Mammalia; Primates; Hominidae.
AGAGAGGGGGAGGGAGGAGAGGAGGAAGAGCGCCGCAGCCUCGGCAGCUGGAGUCGGAGCAGGGGGGGAUGGUUUCAAAAAAUAAUUAAAAAUCGAGGAAAUAUCCUAGAAAAGCCCUUUUGGCGUGAAAACCCCAAAGAAGAGCCAGGCUUCCCGAAACAGAGGUUUCGGGUGCCAGAAAGAAGAAUCUACCAUAAAACCAACAGACUCCUCCUGAUCUCUACCUGUGCUGUCUGCCUCUCUAGUUCCGGACACUGAGAGCUGGUGCCCUGUGGCCACCUCAAGCUGGAACCCUGCAAGAUCACCAAGAAGACUGCAUGCCUCGCUCUAGCCUUCCUAAGGGAAAGUAGACUCCUGUUUUUGAGAGAAAUUACCUGAUUUCAAGAGAAACAUAAAGGACUUUUUUUCCCUUAACAUUCCACUCGUAAAAAUGAAGUUUGGAAGAACUUCUGCAAACUCUGAGUGUUUUGGUCAAUUGACCUUUUACUGUACUAAGCAAAUCUGAAGCCACAAAUACAUUGGGGAGGAAGGUAUACCCUUCACAAAAGAUCCGUCACUUAGCCAGAUACUCUGUUGCCAUGCUUCUUUAAAUAAAGCACAUUUCUGGUA